This 222-nucleotide long non-coding RNA is filed under the name Vigna radiata. RNAcentral's name for it is "long non-coding RNA (VRAD_LNC017589)". The record is from RNAcentral. Lineage: Eukaryota; Viridiplantae; Streptophyta; Magnoliopsida; Fabales; Fabaceae.
UUGAGAGUUAAGAGACUAAUGCCAAGAAAGAAGAAGAGAGAAUAGAAGAAGAAGAGAAAGGCAAGAAAGAAGAAGAGAGAAAGGAAGAUGAGAGACGAGAAAGAGAGAGAAGAGAAGAGGAAAAUACAAAGAAGGAGCUCUUGCUACUAAUGCCAACCCCUACUCUUACCAAUGCAAUGAAACUUAAAAGGGAAGAGUUCUCAUUCCUUAGUUCUUUUCCAA